GUCUCCAGCCAUACCACCCUGAACGUGCCCAAAGCUUGUCAGCUAUGCAGGGUCAGGCCUGGUUAGUACUUGGAUGGGAGACAGGAACACAAUUACUUGAAAGA
This is a ribosomal RNA of Ochotona princeps (American pika), 104 nucleotides long. NCBI's taxonomy places the organism in Eukaryota, Metazoa, Chordata, Mammalia, Lagomorpha, Ochotonidae. The record is from Ensembl.